GCCACGCCAGCUCCGGCAGCUGGGGAAAGACCAGCACUCCCAAACAGGCAGCUGCUGGAAGAAGGAAUCCCGGGGGAGACCUGAUGAGCCGUGGGUGGAAGUCAGGGAAGUCUUCCCUGAGGAGGUGGCAAUUGAGGCGGGCUCUGGAGGAGGACUGAGAGGUGUCUCUCUUGGGAUUCUGGAUUCAGCCUGUUUAGGUUCCGCCUCGGCUGCUGCCUUUCUGACCUGGUGCAGAUUUGGGUCGUGAAGAGAUACACAGCAGCCCGAGGAACACUUCAUGGUCGGAAGGAAGCGCUCUGGAAACCAGACACCAGGAUUCAAGCCCCACUUCGGGGAACUGGCUAAGCUCAAACGUGGGGUAACAAGGAAGUGCUGAGUGCUGACACCCCCAGGAGUGACCUUUGGACAGCGAGGGACCGGGCGUCCUGGGUGAACUCCUGGCUUCAUCACUCCUGAGUGAGGCAGUUCUGGGGUGUGUGCUACAAUCUCUCAGAGACCCUUAGAAGGAUCACCCCUCGACUGACCAGAGCAGGAACCUGCUCAUUCACACCUUCCUUUCCCAAAUGCUCAUUGGGUCUCGGGAGAACCCAAACUAAGACACAGGAUUCCAGAAUUUCUUCCAUCGGUGAAAGAAUCCCUUCUUCAUACCAAAUACCCCUCUAGCCACUCCCCCUUGCUUUGCUCCAUUGGACCCCAACACCCCUCAAAACAUUGCCUGCCCUUGCUCCCUCUCCCUCUCUCUCUCAACUCAAUGAAAAAUAUCCUCGGGUGAGGAUUAAAACAGCAGCAGCAGCAACAACAACAUUGCCCGUCCUUGCCUGUCAAGAGCAAUCAUGACCUCCUAUUGUUCAUCCAAGGCUAUGAUACAGACAGUAUGCACCGGCACAAUUGUUUCAUUGCUAAAAUCCCAGGGUUUUGGCACUGUCUAGAAAAUACCCUUGUAUUCCUUCCAAAGAGUAGUAGAACUCAUGUAAACAACAUUUCGAGCUAAUUGUUGAACGUUGCCAUGAAUUUUGAUGCACUGGUGACAUCUGAGAAACAUUUGCAAAACUUUGCCAGUUUGACUGCUGUCCCUGCGAGCAGCGUGGUUGUCCGUGUAUGAACUGCUCUGGCUUACAGGAGACGCACCCGUUCAUCCUCACCCUCACAUUUCCAGGUUGGUUCUAGUUUCAAACAGCUAAGAUUUACUUCGGUUGUUAUUCUUGGUGCCUUGUGAUUUUCGUGUAAGUAGCAAAUGUGCAAUGUCCUCAUAAUUAUAAAAUGAAAAGCAUAGGAUAAACCAUUGAGAGAAAGCUUCCAGAAUGGAAAGGCAGCGAAGCUUGAGCAAGCUUUUCAAUGUUCCCACUAAGUAUCAGGAAGAACAUCCUGCUGUACCUGGGGGCGGAGAGAGAAGAAAUGAUGUUUAUAGUGAGUUGCAGCCCUGGAACCUCCAAAACUUGCAGAAGCCAGAGGGGCCUGGAGCAGUUUUGCUACUGUGUAAGACUCUCUGUAAAACAUAACAAUUACUUUAUAUUUUGGGCAUAAAAAACAAAUUUUAAAAACCAAAAAUAUGGGUAGUUUAUGGUAACAGGAUAUAAACAUUGGAUGCAGCCCUAACCGGUUUGGCUAAAGGAUAGAGCAUCGGCCUGCAGACUGAAGGGUCCCAGGUUCGAUUCCGGUCAAGGGCAUGUACCUUGGUUGCGGGCACAUACUCAGUAGGGGGCGUGCAGGAGGCAGCUGAUCGAUGUUUCUCUCUCAUUGAUGUUUCUAACUCUCUAUCCCUCUCCCUUCCUCUCUGUGAAAAAUCAAUAAAAUAUAUUUAAAAAAAAUAAAUAUUGGAUGCAAAUGCUGUUCAAAAGCUGUUCAUUAGAGUGGGAAAGGCUGAUGCUUAAAUAUUUCAUCUGAACGGCAACCAUGUUUUGUUUACUUUAGCUCCAAUACGGAAAAUUUGUAAUAGUCAAUAAGGAAAAGGGAAAAGGACAUUGUUAUUCAGUAUCACACCAAAAAGCAUUUGAGUAAUAAAAAAGUUCCAGAAAAAAAUUUGUUUUAUGUCAAUAAUAUUUGUAAAGCAGAUGGAAAGCAUUUAGAAAGUAAUAUAAGACUUUUAAAACACUACAAUGUAUGGCUAAAAGUAAUUGAGACUUUUCAGAUAUGAAACCAUAGAACUUCAAAAAGCGUAAUAUUGAUAUGGGCGUGACAUUGCCAUUCAGACUCACAGAUCUGCUCGAUGCAAAACUGAAAAGACUACGCCGUUCUGCGGAAAACUACCUAAGUCAGCAAAAUUUCUAACGUGAUCCAUGAAGCUUCCAACACCGUCACUAAAAUUGUUUCUGUAAUUUAUUUUAAAAGUGAAAUUCAAGACUUUGACGGUAGUUUAAGGUUUGCUGUUAAUCAUACGAGGCUGUGAUCUGUUUCAGAACAACAUCUGAAAUAAAAUCUGAAAAAAAACAAAAAAACAAAAAAUGAAUUAUAUUCAUUGAAUCUAAACCAUGAUCAAAUGAUGCUUGUGAUGUCCUGGUGGUGGUUUAGAAAUGUCAUUUCAAUGAAAAAUAUUUGCAUAAAGAC
Myotis daubentonii (Daubenton's bat) is the source of this 2544-nucleotide long non-coding RNA. RefSeq lists it as uncharacterized. Lineage: Eukaryota; Metazoa; Chordata; Mammalia; Chiroptera; Vespertilionidae. The record is from RefSeq and is a predicted model, not a curated record.